This 1996-nucleotide long non-coding RNA is filed under the name Vigna radiata. RNAcentral's name for it is "long non-coding RNA (VRAD_LNC018582)". Lineage: Eukaryota; Viridiplantae; Streptophyta; Magnoliopsida; Fabales; Fabaceae. The record is from RNAcentral.
GAAAUUCUCCCAAAGGUAGUAUUGCCUAUACAUAGGAAUAUGUGGUAAUAUGAGGAUUGGUUGCAUACACACUUCUGGGCUUCAGAAUUAAUUAUUAGGGAUGCUAGGAAUCGUAUGAACUCAUAGUUAAGGAUAGGCUUUCUUACCGGUGACAGCGAUAUUAAGUGUUUUAGAGAGUAGCAUUAACAUUAAUGAAGAAGAGGAAUUCUUAUAUGCAUGAGAGUGAUUAGGGGAAAUCUAACCCCAACAACAUAUUCAUCUCAUAUUCUAAUCUUCAUCCAUCCAUCCAAUUUUGUGUUAAACUCAAUUGAUCAAAUUGCAUUCAUGUUUAUUUUUCCAUACUUUAUAUUUAAAAAUCCCAAAAUAUUAUUUUUAUAAUCUUGAUUGGUUAAGCAAAAGCACAACAGUUUAGUGUCGUGAGUCUCUUGGGAAAACGAUACUUGGACUUACCAUUUAUUAUUACUUGAUACGAUUUGGUACACUUGCCAGAAUGUUAACAAGUUUUUGGCGCCGUUGUCGGGGACUCAAUGUAGAACUAUUCUAUGUGUGUGAUUCUUAAUUGAUUAGACUUUCUAUCUUUCUACCCCUUUCUUUCUAUUUUUUUAUCUUUCUGUUUUUAUUUUUCUUUCUUUGUAAAAAAAAAAAAUCUUUUAUUGUUUUUAUUUUUUUUAUUAUUAUUUUUUGGGAUAAUUUUGUGCUCUAGUGCAGUGUUCGUUAGUGUAUGCAGGAUAAAAUUUUUGGUACUAGGAGCACAAGAUCAUCAGGAGGCAGAUAAGAAAGGAGAAUUGGUUCACCAACACCCUGAUGUGAAGUGACAAACCCAAACCUGGCAUAUCAGUGAAAUUCAAGAAUAGGUUAUGGGUUGUCAAGACUAUCAAAGCAAAUAAAAUUCUGAAGAUGGAGGAUCCUUAGCGUUGGUGACAAGAAAAGUCUCGAGAUGUUGUUGGUGUCAUGGAGGAAGGAAGAACGCCAACAGAAAAUAUCAACACCUGAUGGGUGUGUGGGCUUUACCGGGUCAAGCUAACGACGUUAAAAGAGCGCUUGCUGGGAGGCAACCCAGUUUCUGAUUUUUGUUUUAUCUUUUAUUUCUUUUUGAUUUUAUUUGAUUUUAUUUUAUUUUAUUUGAUUUUAUUUGAUUUUAUUUGAUUUGAUUUUGUUUUAUUUUAUUUUAUUUUAUUUGAUUUCAUUUGAUUUGAUUUUAUUUUAUUUUUAUUUUUAUUUUUAUUUUUAUUUUAUUUUAUUUUAUUUUUUGUUAUGCGCUGCUUCUAAUGACAAUAAUGAUUAGGAUCUAUUGAUGGAUGCUAUAUGGUUAGACAUUUACUGAUGGAUGUCACUGUCAGCAUUUACUGAUGAAUGCUACUGGGAUAGCAUCUACUGAGGGAUGCUAGAAGAUUUAGGUGUCUACUGAAGGAUACCAGGAAGGUACACCUACUGAUGGGUGUUGGAAAGGUAUGCACUUACUGACAAGUGCUAGACAGGUUUGGGUCAGGCUCGUGACGUUAAACAAGCGCUACUAGGAGGCAACCUAUGUUCUCUCUUACUUUUGCAUUUUGAAUUCUUAGAAUAGGGUGAAUUUUUAUUUUCAGUGUCUAUGCUUGGCUUGAAUACUUUUCUGACAAUGUUUGACUAAAUGACAUGCAUGAUAAGUCUACUUGACGAUGACUUGAUGUGAAUGAUAAUUGAGUUGUGUUGCAUGUGAUAUUCGGUGAAAAAGUUCACUAGCUAUGUGAACAGAUGUGUGAUAAAUUAUGAUUGUGGUUAUGAGGCUAAGCAGGAUGUAUGAUGAAUGAUGUGUGAGGAAAGCAUGUGUGUGAGGUAUUGAGCUCCAGAGUUUUCAUUGUUGCAUGUAUUGUUCACAAGAAAACAUGAAUGAUAUUGUCUAAAUCUUGAUGAUUGAUUGAAUUGCAUGUGAAUGUCAUAUGAUCAAGGCCAUUUUUAAAAACCCUUCUCUAGCCAAAUUUUCACCCAAAGUGCUUAAAAUAUUAUACCCUUUUUG